CUCAGUAAGUCGGAACAGGGCAGCCACUAGAGUUUGAUUUGGGAAACUGGGUCUAAUACCGGAUAUGACCACAGCAUGCAUGUGUUGUGGUGGAAAGAUUUAUCGGUGCAGGAUGGGCCCGCGGCCUAUCAGCUUGUUGGUGGGGUAAUGGCCUACCAAGGCGACGACGGGUAGCCGACCUGAGAGGGUGACCGGCCACACUGGGACUGAGACACGGCCCAGACUCCUACGGGAGGCAGCAGUGGGGAAUAUUGCACAAUGGGCGGAAGCCUGAUGCAGCGACGCCGCGUGAGGGAUGAAGGCCUUCGGGUUGUAAACCUCUUUCAGCAGGGACGAAGCGUGAGUGACGGUACCUGCAGAAGAAGCACCGGCUAACUACGUGCCAGCAGCCGCGGUAAUACGUAGGGUGCGAGCGUUGUCCGGAAUUACUGGGCGUAAAGAGUUCGUAGGCGGUUUGUCGCGUCGUUUGUGAAAACCCGGGGCUCAACUUCGGGCUUGCAGGCGAUACGGGCAGACUUGAGUGUUUCAGGGGAGACUGGAAUUCCUGGUGUAGCGGUGAAAUGCGCAGAUAUCAGGAGGAACACCGGUGGCGAAGGCGGGUCUCUGGGAAACAACUGACGCUGAGGAACGAAAGCGUGGGUAGCAAACAGGAUUAGAUACCCUGGUAGUCCACGCCGUAAACGGUGGGCGCUAGGUGUGGGUUCCUUCCACGGGAUCUGUGCCGUAGCUAACGCAUUAAGCGCCCCGCCUGGGGAGUACGGCCGCAAGGC
This 770-nucleotide ribosomal RNA is filed under the name Rhodococcus sp. (in: high G+C Gram-positive bacteria). Its description in RNAcentral is "bacterial SSU rRNA". It matches the Rfam family "Bacterial small subunit ribosomal RNA", at positions 109 to 894 of the family's 1533-position model. Lineage: Bacteria; Bacillati; Actinomycetota; Actinomycetes; Mycobacteriales; Nocardiaceae. The record is from RNAcentral.